AGAACGAACGCUGGCGGCAGGCUUAACACAUGCAAGUCGAACGCCCCGCAAGGGGAGUGGCAGACGGGUGAGUAACACGUGGGAACGUCCCCCUCGGUUCGGAAUAACUCAGGGAAACUUGAGCUAAUACCGGAUACGUCCGAGAGGAGAAAGAUUUAUCGCCGAGGGAUCGGCCCGCGUCUGAUUAGCUAGUUGGUAGGGUAACGGCCUACCAAGGCGACGAUCAGUAGCUGGUCUGAGAGGAUGACCAGCCACACUGGGACUGAGACACGGCCCAGACUCCUACGGGAGGCAGCAGUGGGGAAUCUUGGACAAUGGGCGCAAGCCUGAUCCAGCCAUGCCGCGUGAGUGAUGAAGGCCUUAGGGUUGUAAAGCUCUUUCGACGGGGACGAUAAUGACGGUACCCGUAGAAGAAGCCCGGCUAACUUCGCGCCAGCAGCCGC
This 443-nucleotide ribosomal RNA is filed under the name uncultured bacterium. Its description in RNAcentral is "SSU rRNA". It matches the Rfam family "Bacterial small subunit ribosomal RNA", at positions 26 to 518 of the family's 1533-position model. The record is from RNAcentral.